RNAcentral lists this non-coding RNA (363 nucleotides) under Pongo abelii (Sumatran orangutan). Lineage: Eukaryota; Metazoa; Chordata; Mammalia; Primates; Hominidae. The record is from RNAcentral.
UGGGAUUCCUAGCCAGUCCUCAAUACUGUCCCACCUCCCUGCUUUACUUUUCUCAUCCAGGAAACCAGGACAACAACAGAAUCUACUCCUAGCAGUGUUACGAGGAUUUGGAGCACUGGGUCAGGGAAAGCCUGCUGCUGAAUGCCUGGCACGUGGGGAAGAGUGAAUGGAAGAACAUGCUUCCUUUCAUCACUCUGCCCCCAUCUGAGAGCUUUCAGGACAUCAAGAAUUCAAGAGGGAAUAAAGUCCACACUGCUAACACCAUCACAUUGUAUUUGAAAACACAAUCAAUCUUCAGAGGAAAAAAAUAACUUUAGACGGAUAUAUGAUUAUGUAAGAAAUCAGGCUGGCCGCGGUGGCUCA